ACGCUCGACACCUACGAGAGGCAGCAGUGGGGGAUAUUGCACAAUGGGGGAAACCCUGAUGCAGCGACGCCGCGUGGAGGAAGAAGGUUUUCGGAUUGUAAACUCCUGUCGUUAGGGACGAAUUCUGACGGUACCUAACAAGAAAGCACCGGCUAACUACGUGCCAGCACGCCGGACGGUUAAUCUGGACGGCCGGGCGUGGACGAAGGC
This 210-nucleotide ribosomal RNA is filed under the name uncultured bacterium. Its description in RNAcentral is "partial 16S ribosomal RNA". It matches the Rfam family "Bacterial small subunit ribosomal RNA", at positions 328 to 545 of the family's 1533-position model. The record is from RNAcentral.